AUGACAAGGCUGAGAGGAGAGAGCACGCUUCCAUGGAUGUGCAUUGGGGACUUCAACGAAAUUUUGCGGCCCGAGGAACAAUUUGGUCCAAAUGACCGUGACAGUGCACAGAUUGGUGCUUUCAGAGAGGCGGUGGAUAUUUGUGGACUGGCUGAUUUGGGUUACCGUGGUUUGGAUUGGACUUGGGAGAAGAAAGUGUCAGGAGGUUAUUUUUGCAAGGUAAGGUUGGACAGAGCUUUGGGUACGGCUGAAUGGUCGGCCCUCUUUCCGUUUGCCUCGGUGGAACACCUAACAGCGGCUAAAUCUGACCUCUGCCCUAUCUUACUCCAAACAGAUCUUGUGGACUCAAGUGUGAGAACAAAGCAGCAACAGUUUGGGUAUGAAUGCAUGUGGGAGCGGGAUCCAAGUUUUGAGGAUGUGGUCACUGAAGCUUGGAACACUUCUGGAUAG
This 450-nucleotide ribosomal RNA is filed under the name Triticum aestivum (bread wheat). RNAcentral describes it as "partial small subunit ribosomal RNA". Lineage: Eukaryota; Viridiplantae; Streptophyta; Magnoliopsida; Poales; Poaceae. The record is from RNAcentral.